AGUUCCAUAGUGUAGCGGUUAGCAUAUCUGCUUUACACGCAGAAGGUCCCAGGUUCAUGCCCCAGUGGAGCCA
Molecule: non-coding RNA, 73 nt
Organism: Pteropus alecto (black flying fox)
Lineage: Eukaryota; Metazoa; Chordata; Mammalia; Chiroptera; Pteropodidae
Source: Rfam